Molecule: ribosomal RNA, 715 nt
Filed under: bacterium enrichment culture clone DB32
Lineage: Bacteria
Description: bacterial SSU rRNA
Rfam family: Bacterial small subunit ribosomal RNA
Source: RNAcentral
GAGUUUGAUCCUGGCUCAGAUUGAACGCUGGCGGCAGGCCUAACACAUGCAAGUCGAGCGGAUGACGGGAGCUUGCUCCUUGAUUCAGCGGCGGACGGGUGAGUAAUGCCUAGGAAUCUGCCUGGUAGUGGGGGACAACGUUUCGAAAGGAACGCUAAUACCGCAUACGUCCUACGGGAGAAAGCAGGGGACCUUCGGGCCUUGCGCUAUCAGAUGAGCCUAGGUCGGAUUAGCUAGUUGGUGAGGUAAUGGCUCACCAAGGCGACGAUCCGUAACUGGUCUGAGAGGAUGAUCAGUCACACUGGAACUGAGACACGGUCCAGACUCCUACGGGAGGCAGCAGUGGGGAAUAUUGGACAAUGGGCGAAAGCCUGAUCCAGCCAUGCCGCGUGUGUGAAGAAGGUCUUCGGAUUGUAAAGCACUUUAAGUUGGGAGGAAGGGCAGUAAGUUAAUACCUUGCUGUUUUGACGUUACCGACAGAAUAAGCACCGGCUAACUCUGUGCCAGCAGCCGCGGUAAUACAGAGGGUGCAAGCGUUAAUCGGAAUUACUGGGCGUAAAGCGCGCGUAGGUGGUUCGUUAAGUUGGAUGUGAAAGCCCCGGGCUCAACCUGGGAACUGCAUCCAAAACUGGCGAGCUAGAGUACGGUAGAGGGUGGUGGAAUUUCCUGUGUAGCGGUGAAAUGCGUAGAUAUAGGAAGGAACACCAGUGGCGAA